AAUGGUGCCUUCACAAGUGACCUCUCUUGUGGUCACUCUCCUAGUGGCAAUAGUCUCUCUCACAUUGCCUUCAGAAACUUCAGCUAACUACCCUUACACCUCUCCACCACCACCGGCCUCUCCUCCCUACCAUUACAAGUCACCACCGCCUCCUUCUCCUUCUCCUCCAGUGCACUACUCACCACCUAAGCAUCCCUACCACCCUAAGUCACCACCACCUCCUGUGUACGCACCACCUAAGCAUCCCUACCACCCUAAGUCACCACCACCUCCUGUGUACCCACCACCUAAGCAUCCCUACCACCCCAAGUCACCACCACCAUCACCAAAGCCUUACCACUACAAAUCCCCACCACCACCUCCUGCUCCAGUGCACUCACCACCCCCACCUAAGGAGCCAUACCACUACAAGUCCCCACCACCACCACCCAAGAAGCCCUACCACUACAAAUCUCCCCCACCACCUCCUCCUCCAGUUCACUCACCACCACCACCCAAGGAGCCUUACCACUACAAAUCUCCACCACCACCACCCAAGAAACCUUACUAUUACAAGUCUCCUCCACCACCACCAAAGAAGCCUUACCACUACAUGUCUCCUCCCCCACCGGUGUACUCACCACCUCCACCAGUGCACUCACACCCACCACCAAAAAAGCCUUACCAUUACAAAUCUCCUCCCCCGCCAGAAUAUUCACCAGCUCCACCAGUGCACUCAACCCCACCACCAAAGAAGCCCUACCAUUACAAAUCCCCACCACCACCACCACCACACAAGAAGCCUUAUUACCCUGUUCACUCACCACCUCCACCUAAGAAGCCUUACCACUACAAAUCCCCACCACCACCUUCUCCUACUCCUCCUAAAUACUCACCACCUAAGCACCCCUACCACUACAAGUCUCCACCACCACCACCAAAGAAGCCUUACCAUUACAAGUCCCCACCACCUCCUUCUCCUACUCCCCCUAAAUACUCACCACCUAAGCACCCCUACCACUACAAGUCACCACCACCACCACCCCAAGAAGCCUUACCACUACAAGUCUCCACCACCACCACCUCCUCCAGUUCCCACACCAUCUCCACCCAAGAAACCUUACCACUACAAGUCUCCCCCACCACCCCCUCCAGUCUACAAGUCUCCUCCACCACCAGUUUACUCACCACCACCACCACCUAAGAAACCUUACAAGCCACCAACUCCUCCAGCAGUUCACCCACCACACGGUUACAUCUAUUCCUCACCCCCACCUCCUCACCACUACUAGAUAUUGAAAGUUUAAUUGCAUCAAGCUGGUAAGCUUCUCCAUUCUAUGCUAUUAUUCAUUAAUUAGUUAGUACUACUGUUGUCAAUUUGGAAAUCACCAUACAACCAAAUGCACACUCUGACGAAAUAACAUAUAAAUUCUAAUUGAAUAGUCUUUAUUUCCAUUUUUGGCUAAUAAUCCUUAUUAGCAUAUGGAUAAUGUAUUUCCAACAUAUCGUUAUUAACUUAUUACUCAAUUAAUAUUUCUUUUUCUUUAAAUUCAGUAGCCGUGUGUAACAAAUAGACCAAUGGCAGAGACCCAACAAAUAACAAUAAUAUGUCUUUGCAGGUAAGGGAAGAAGAAAGGUCAGAAUAAAGAGGGGCUGUUGAAGUCGAACAGCGCGCCUUAUUACCACACAAAGAAGAAGAGAGAGAAAAAAACGAGUCUCCACGCAGCUGCUGAUGUGACGUGUUUUAUGUAUGCGAUAUUCGAUAGAGGUUCAUAUUUUCCUUGGAAUAUUAGACAGUUGUAGGGCACUCAUGUUCCAUGUAUUUUAUUUCCUGUUUCUCAAAAGAGAUGGUAUAUGUAUGUUGUUUGUUUCAACCUUCUAAUGGAGAGGUGAUCAUCAUAAUAAUAAAAUAAAUACAUUCCCCAAAUUUUACUUAAUUUCUCAUAUAUCUGAUAUGUUUUACUCUCUUAAUUAAAGUUUCCUAAUAAUGUUAUAAAAACCACGUAUAUCACAUUGGUGUACCAUUUAUUCUCACAAGUAAUGUCACGUCAAUUAAUGAGUUUAUCUCAUUGAAUAGUAAUUGACUUGCUUACAUUAUAUGGUAAUAAUGUGGUGUAAAUAUGUCGCAUCGUCCUUAACAUCACUCUAAAUUUCUUGGUAAUAAUAUAUGCGAGCAGUGUUAACAAAUCAAAGGAUGAGAAAGAAGAAAAACUAUUUGCAAAUUCUUAUUCUUAAUAUUUCAUAAACACAAAAUAAAGAAGACUAUGAAUUGUUCAAAUGCAUACUAAGUGAUCUAUUUUGGCAAAUCAUCUUAGUAUUGUAUUAUUUUCUUCAAUUAAGUGAUCUAUUUUUUUUCAAUUUGUUUUCCAUAUUUCAUGGCUUAAAUUUGUGAUUACUUUUUCAACAUAAAUGUCAAAUACUUUUUCUAAAAGUUAAUGUUGUCUAUUAUUUAUCCGUUGCUGGGAAAAAAAGUUAAAGUGGUAAUCUUAUUGAUAAAACUUAGUUCACUACACUAUAUAUACAAUUGUCUUCCGGUAGACCAUCAUGGAUAAAAAAUCAAAAGGAUUAUCGAAACCCCAAAAAAUUCUCACUAGUAGAAAGAUUGUUCAAAUUCUACAAUGAACCACAAGAAGUCUAACUCACUUGGUCAUUGCUGAUUGACUAUCAUUACUAGGUUAAAGCAACAUUUUAAGUUUUAACCUAAAUAGGAUCUCAACAAGCUAGGGUUUGAGAUUAGUGUUUUAGGUGACGACAGAGCUCUUUCCUUUCUUUAUGUUAUCCAAACUCUUUUUCUUUUUUCAUUUUUAUCAAGAAACUGUAGGUCUCAAUCAAAUUUAUGGAUUAUGGAUUUUAGUUAUGUAUUCUUAGUGUGGAAAUUUGACUAUAAAAUACGUUGACACUUGUCCUUUAAACUAAUGCAACCGAACAAACUUGUAGUUAACAAUUUUAUUAAGAGAGAUUAUAUUCACACACUUCAAAUUACUUAUGUCACACCUUUCUAAUUUUUUAAUAUUUUCUACACACCACUAACACUUGAAAGAAAAAAUAUUAAAAAAAUUAAAAGAGUGUGGGGCAAGUAAUUUGGGGUGUGUGAAUAUAAUCUCUCUUUCAUUAAAUCAUAACAUGGUGGAGUGAGUAAGUGAUGAGGAAAGACAAUUACGUCGCUCAUAUGCAAAUGAGUGGACAAACCUUCCAAUGGAUGCAACGGUGGUCAUGAAUUAUGAUUGUGUGUAGGGUUUCGAGUUACCGACGUUGACUGUCAUGCAAAUUGAGUACGUAGCCACUUACACUUAAUGGCAGAGGUCGAUGAUUUGCGCUACGGAAAAUGGUUUGAUUUGCUUAUACCAAUUACCAAACAAAGCAAAUAUAUUCGUCCUUUUGGUUUGGUUGUCAACUGUCAAGUAUGCGUUAGAAUUUUUUAAUUUGGGUUAAAUAAAAUAAAAAAACAAUACUCAAAACUUUUUGGGGAUGAGAUCUGAGAAAUUUAAUUUUUUCCCUUCAUAUAUUAGGGAUGAAAGUUGACUUAAUCACACACAAUGGAUCAUACCAACAAUAAUUUAGUAUCGAAUUCAUCAUUCAUGAAAAUCAUAUUUGAGCCUAAAUAAAAAUAAGCAUGUUAUGGGGUCAAUCUACUUUUAUUUACAGAAAGUUGCACGACUCAGGCCCACCAACUUCAAAGCCUAAUUCAAGAUCAUAUCACAAAGCUUGGGCGACCUUUUUGUCCCCCUCCUAGCUAUUCGAGGGCUUGGGUAGAUCUCUCUAUGAAGUGCGUCCACCACGCAGAUGACCAGACCCGGGAAUAUCUCGCCUCCUUAAAUGUUGAUGUACGCAUCAUCUAACAUGCUAAUGUCACCAUUGCAAUUAUGAAAACGGCCAUGAAAUACAGUUUAAGGCCACCAACCAGAAAUUAUAGUCAAUGUCAACUCACCGAUCUACCCAUGCUCCAUCUUAGCCAUGAGAUCGAGGUUGCUCUUGCUUCAUUGCCUAUAAAUAGAGUGGGAAACCUUCAAACUUAGGACCUUCGUCUGAUCCAAUCUCUACAAUUAUAUAAAACCUCGAUUGAUUCUUCAAUCAACCCAACUUCUUUCAAAGUACAAUCCAAUUGCUCUUCAACUACAAUCACAAAGCCUUCGUUAAAAGCAAACAUUGCCUAUGUCCCUGAGAUCUUAAACUUUUACAGCUUUUCCAACCCGUGGUAUGAUUCGGUUGAUGUGUCAAUCCAACCACCCUGAUUUCCUCUUAGAGGCACAUGUUUUGGACUAAGUCCAAUUUGAUACCAGAGACCUCAGUGGACUCCUCUAGCAUUAUCUAUCCCUUCAUGGCCUAAAUCUUGUAAGAGUUUUUACAGCUUUCUUUACAAUUUUACUCAAUUUUCAUUUCAAGUCAUGUAGCUCGGCCCAUCGGCCAAGAUUUUACUUUUAUAUAAUGCUUGUAAUGUUGACUUCAUUAUGAAAUAAUUACAUUUUGUUCAUCACAUUAUUUUCCAUUUUCCUUUUUCAUGUUUUAGGCAAAAACACAAAAAAGUUACAUUGAAUUUUAAGUCCUCAUUCACUCAAGGCAUAGAAAAAAACUUAAACGAACUAGCGUCUCAUUCAAUGCACAACAAUUGGUUAAGAAGUCAGAUCUUUGCGCAACUUUCACACACAUCCAAAUACAAAGAUUGUCUGUUGACAGCCUCCAACAAUAGCACACCCAUUCUCUCAUUUUCUCGAGCCACCUCGUGACAUUGAUAUAAAAAAUAACACUCGGGGAAAAUAAAAGUUACAGUAGUAGUGAAAGAAAUUUAGUUGUUGUAAUAACUGAAUUUUGAAGGGCAUAUUAAGUAAUAAAAAUUAUGAGCAGAUAGUAUUUGCCCCAUUUGGCCUAGUGUCGACCAAAAAUGUACCUUCACCUAGAAAAGGAUUGUAGAAAGUGAAGUUAGUUCAAUAAUUGUCCUCUUUUUUGUUUUCUUUUUCGAUAUUUUAAGUGCUAUAUUGAGACUUUGGGGGCUUUUUUUUCCCAAAGCUCUGGCCUAUUCCGCGAAGAACUGAGAUUGAAUGGAGACUUUAUCAUUCUCACUAAUAUUAUAAGAAAAAUUGCACAAUACCAUUGUAUUAUUAAUUUGAGACAAUGGUAUUAAUUAUAGACAUUACAAUAGUGUCAAGAAUAAUGCAAAUAACUCAUUCUCCUUUGUUUAUUAGGUCGAAUUUCACUAGCUACAAAUAAGUUUAGCGGGGUGUAAGGAUGGAGACUUUAUCAUUCUCACUUAUAAAUCAUCAUAUAUUUAGGUGUGGGGUAAGGGGUUGGGGUAGAUUAGGUCCCAGGUUCGAGGCCUGGUGGGGUGGGGUGGGGUUGAAAAAAAAAAUCAUAUAUUUAGGUGUGGGUUUGGAAGGUAGACUUGAUUCCGCGGUGUUUUGAGGAGGAGGAGGGCAAUCUUAUUCUUGGUUUACCAAUAAGUUUAGCAGGGUGUAAGGAUAGAGUCAUAUGGCACUAUUCAAGAAAAGUUGCAAAACCACUAAAACUUUAUUUUAAGAGUCAAAUCUACUAAAUUCUUCUCCAAGAGACUUGAUAAAGGACUCUAUAUAAUAGCAAGUUGCUCUUUAAAUUUAUAAGUAAUGCCUAAUGGGGCUUUUAAGAAAAUAUUAAUAUUUAAAAAAAAAGUAUUAAUUUUUGUUUUAGACAUUGUAUAAGGAAAAUGAUAAGCAUACAUCCUUUUUAGCCUCGAUCAACACUUAUAUUUAAUCUUGUUCAUUAUUUUUGUUUGAUUUAUACAAUGCGAUGGUCAAAAAAAUAAAUAAAAAAUAUGUUUGAGAAGUUAAAAAUGAUGUGUGAAAAUCACCUGCCAAUAAACAAAUCUAUUAUUAAAACUAAUACAAACUUUAAAACUAAAACUCAUGAUCAAUUAAGAAACGCUCAAGUCAAAUUCAUAAUAGCCAUAAAACAUAAAACACCUAAAUUUACUAUGCCAAUUCAAUCAACAAUCGUAUUAUAAAUAUGUUAAAUCCUUACAUGAAUGGAAUUGUUAGCCCAUCAAUCCAAGUAAUUGAAUGAUCUUUGGAGAUUUACUUAAGAGCAGUAUUAAUAUGAAUUAUGAACUUAUGAGAGAGAAAUAAUCUAUUAUUCUUUUCUCUAUUAGGCUAUAUUAUAUUUAUUUUGUUAUUGAAGAAAUUAUAUAUUGUAUAAUAUUUCCAUGGGGUGCAAAAACAUCGGGGCGCCUUUUUUUAGUUGGGGACCUUGUGCAAUGUCUUAUAUUCCUCCCCUUCAAUCCGGCACUGACAGGAAGGGAGAGAACGAUUUAAAAAAUGAACGGGUUGAAUUUGAAUUGAUAAUAAUUAGUAAAUUAUUUAAACUUUGUUAAAUAGAAAAUAUUGUUGAAAAUGAAAAGUUAAACUGAGUAAUUAAAAUAGUUUUUUUGACACUUUUCACUUGCUUGUUUAACAAAAAUUUAGAGCUUGUCUUUGAGAUACUCUUACUCCUUUAUUUAAAGGACUCGGCUUUUCUAUUAUAGCUGUCGUAUUCAAUAUUGUUGCAAUUAAUGAACUUAAAUCAUUUCGUUAUGACCAAAUUAAGAUAAUCAUGGACAUGUAGAUUAGGUAGCUAAUUCUGAUUUUGACUCGAUCACAUCAAGGUUAUCGUAAUUAAUGUCGGUUAAUUUAAUAUGCGUCUCUGAUCUGAUUACAUUACCAUGGUACGUAAACAUGUGUAUCCAUCUGCAAGACUCAAGAUUUAUAAUUUUGUUUUGUUUACUGUUUUUACGAAGAUAUUUAUGAUUUGAUUUUAUAAUAAAUUUUUUUUUAAAAAAAAAAUCAGAGCAAAACUGCAUCAUGGCCAACAAUCCAGCCAGAUUCAGUUCAACUAUAAUUUUGGCCAAUUUUUCAAAGCUGAUGGAUGUUAGUAGAUUUGUGUGGGGAACACUGAAAAGGCUAGAUUAUGAAAUACCAGAAAAGUAUUGACAUUUCAAUUGCUUAAACCAACCAUGAUGAAGAGUUCUAUGAAUUAUUUUUCAAAAUUUGAUUAAAUUGUGUCAUCCAGAUUAACGAACAUUGUUUCAUUGAAAUUAGUUCAUCAAGAUUGCGUAACUGGGAUAGCUUUCACACUGUAUUAACAUACAAAGAGGCUCUACUUCGUUAGAGUGUUCAAACUGUACACGUAAUUUGACUGCCGUACACAUUUUUCUUAUAUCUCUCCAAUCAACUUUAUUUUUCCUUUUGAAUAAAUUAAAGAUAAAGAAAGAAAACCAUUUUGCCUUAAAUGGCAAGAGAUUGAUGAAAAUCUACUCUAAAGAAGGGACAGGAUAUAUAUAAAUUAAAAUUCAUCAUGUACAAAGUAAGCGUAGGACAUUUUCAUCAUUUUACUUUGUCGUGCCCAUAAUUCUUUGCUCUAUAUAUUUUAUCUUUGUUGGUGGUCGAUGCUUUGGUUGGCUGUCAAUUGCGACGGACUGUCGUAAAAAUUGUCGGCAACCAACCAUGUGUUCUUGCAUGCCCGAUGUUCUCGCCACCUCACGUGGAAAUUUCCAAUGGAAUGGAGGGCCAAAUUUCAGUUUUUAUAUCAAUUUGUUUAUGUUAAAAUUUUCUUGUAAUAUAAGUCAAUGGUUGAAUUUGCAGUAGAAACAAACAAAAUAUGUGGACGAAUUUGAUAAAGUACAAGAAAAAAAAAACUGCAACUUAAGUAGAUGACGUGAUUCUUCACCCGGACAACAAGGAAGAAGACAUGAAAUCGGGAACACUGGAUGACGAAGUACACAAAUUAAACUUAUCUAAUCCAUUUUAAUAAAUUGUUACAGGGUGGCCAGUGGUCGGGAAUAAAUCACAGACUCGCAUUUCAGAUACCUCACGAACUUGAUUUUUGUUACUAACAAAUCACAUGAAGGUGACCAAGAGAAGGUUGAAAUGUCAUUGUGAGACGUCUUUCUUACCCUCGAAAGAUGAACUACCGUAAUGAAGCCACCAACUCAUCUUUUUAAAGGAAAGAAAAUCUAAGCCGUCCUAAUACAUGUUGUCACUCAUGGGAAUUAGAGAAGAAAUAUUCGUUAGCCACUUACAGUUGGAUGCUUAUUAUAUUAACUAGUUACAAAGUCAAAGGUUUUUCAUUGAAUGGAAUCAUAAGAUGUAAACAUCUAGGAUUAAUAUUUGGAAAAUAAUUAAACUCAAUCCCACCGCGUAGUUCUGUAACAAGUUUAUAUGUCUAAUAGAGUUUAUAGAUCUAAUAGUUAGUUAAGAGUAUUCAUUCUUACUCUUGAAGUUUUUUUGUUGACACUCUCUCUUUUAACCAUUUCUUGUAAUCAUUACAAGAAUUUGGAUUCUUUUAAUCCUAGGAGUGCAAUACUAAUUCUUAAUCUUUGUGUUAACCAUAAUAUCAUGACACAUAUCACCAAGUAUGAUCAGCAACUAGGAGAACGAGAGAAGAUGCGUGACUUAAGAAAAUUGAUGUGAUUUUGGAUUUUUUUUUACUUUAUGCACGCCCGCUCUUUAAAAAAAAAGAAAAAAGAUAUGUGAAAGGUGAAAAACAGUUGUUUCCGACAAACAUAAUUCACUUUCUAUAUGUGUACUUUGUAUUUUUUUUCAUCAAGUAAGGAAAUGGUGAAAAGAAAAAUGUACAUUAAUCGUAUCAUAUGAUAUAUUGUUCUUCUCAAGACAACUAAGAAGCUAAACUUAAUGUCAGAGAUUAAGACGUUUUGUUGGCUUGUCAUUCAAGGAAAGCUUAAUACAUAUAAUAUAGAGUUGGGAAGGUUAAUUUGUCCGUAUCUUGUGUAAAACAUGAUCUGGAUUUCAAACCCCCUAGACUUUUUGUUGUCCUACUCACGCAGCCCAUUCCCAAGUUCCAACCCUCCCAACAACCCUAUCCAGGAAGGCCAGCGCAGAUGUUAAGGCUGUGACCAGGGUUGUAAUACCAUCUCCAAUGGAUAAGUCAAAUCAUAAGUGGAAUGUCGCAUAAUUAAAUUUAAAAGUAAAAAAGAAGUUCCAACCGAUAGUUUUUCCGGAUCCUGAAAGAGUGGAUAACCGUGACUUAUCACCACUUGUCUUAUUUUUCGAAGAAAAAAAAAUGUCAAUCCUAUGUGAAUUAACAUGAGUUUUUGGUAUCAAAAUUGACAUGAAAAAUGUGUUGGCAAUUAAUUCUUUAGUGAUUUUAUUGUGCGGGUUUUAUUAAUGGACCAAUUCUAAAGCUUAAAAAUUAUUUUAAUUGAUUUCUUUUUCAUAAUGAACCUACGGAUAUUAAUUAUAAAUUUGACAUUACCACAUCAAUCGUUAAAAUUAACAUUUGACAUUCAUUUUUUGACUUUUCCAUUGAAGAUGUUCCAAUUAGCUUCAAAUGCCUUCGAGUUGAACUCAUGUUUGGGUCGUUUUAGGCAUGUUCAAUCUCUACUUGCAAGUAAAAGGAGUCGGGCACGAACAUAAUAUUCAGUUCGAUACAAAGAUGAGAUAGAAUUUUAGUAUGAUCAAAAGCUCGUAAAACUCUUAACAUCCCAUAUCAUUUUAUAUUGGACAUGCAAUCAUUUGAAAGUAUAGAGCUAUGCUUAAGCACAAAUUAUAUCAUUUGAACCAAGCACCUGGUACUUGGCGCGACUCAUCAACGCAGCUCUUGCAUUUUGUCCUUUGAUUUCUUCAAUAUAAAACCAUAAAUAAAUAGAAAUGUGCAAGAUAAGACGAGUCUGAUAAGAUUUCAAUAGAAGUGUUCCAUACGAACACUGUGCCAAGCACUUUUCAGCUGUUGGAUCGACGGAAUUUUACCACUGCUAGGCUAACAAUAUAAUUUCCGUUCGAUCUCUUUCAUAAACGAAACACUAAAACAUGAAUCGAUUUAUCAAUCACCCGAUUAACAUACUCCAAGAAACAGGAAAACAAUCAGUCACAAAUUACUCGCAAAUCGCAAUUAAAACGAAAGAAAUUGAGAAAUCCGGACUAGGCUACAAGCACGUCAAGUCAAGAUCGGCAAAACAUUUAAUAAAACACCAAAUCUGUCAUAUUUUCUGACCUUCCAAAUAUUCAAGUCCAUAACAGAAUGAACAAGCUGAAAACAGCAGAUGAAAUAUGCACAAAGGGAUACACCAAACGUACCUCCAUCGCGAGAAAGAUACACUGCGUUUUGUGAUCGCAUCUACACCAAGCGCUUCGUCCGACAAAACCAUCACUACACAUAUAGGUAUAGAAAAUAUCUAGCAUAGCGUCUUCAUCUCAUUUCUCAAACAGACAAUAUUAUACAAUGACAUUCAACUGGGUGUUUGCUUCGAUGAGUUCUACAACAGACAGGAAAUCAGAUCAUCAAGCACUAAUCACUAAUGACAUCGUCUCUUGAGCAAUCUCUCUAAUUUUCUCUUUCCUUGAGUGUACAGUAUAACCUCUAUAUUCAUAUGAGAAACAAACGAAAAAAACAAAGCCUCAUCCAUAUCCCAAACACCUAAAAAUGAGCCGGUCAGAAUGUUGCAAAAAGAGAAGUUUCGGGUAUUUCAGAAAUUUUCUGAGUCGUGUCAUAACUCUCAAGUGCCAUUGGAGGGUUCUGAAAUUUCCUGAGAUUUCAUGCAUUUAGUUCAGUGUGGGGCUGAGAGCCUGAUAGAACAAGGGAGAACCAAACAUCAAGAAAGACGAGAGAGAGUGUCCUACCUGGACUUCUUGGAGGAGAGAUUCAAGUUGAGCUGUUAUAUCGGAGAAGGAAGGCCGAUUGGAAGGAACUGAAUCCCAGCAACUCUGCAUUAAUUCCAAAACCUUGGGGUGUCCAUUAUUCGGAAUUUCCGGUCUCAGCCCCUGGGAAAUAGAAUGUCAAACAAAACAUAACUAUUUAGGCACAAAAGAAUUUGGAUAAAAUACUACGCUGAGUGAACAGCCAAACCAGUUGGUAUGUACCAUUGUACAUGAUUUCAGAGGCAUAAUUUAUACUUAUUUAUAUUAUAAGCAACAAAAAUGUCAUCAGAAGAUACAGAAAUUUGUUAUUCACUAAGUUUUACCCUUUUCUUGCGUUUAUAAAAUAUAUGCCUGCUUUGUAACAGCUUUUUUUAGUUUGAAUGGGAGGAUAUUCAGACCACAGGGUUACAAACAUAAACUCAGGCACGUCAUCAAUUCAAACUUUAAUUCGACAUGUAGAAUUGUCAACAUCUGUAAGAUACACACAUGGCAGGCAACAGGACGAAACACCAUAGAGGAAAAUUUAUAAUCAAGUUGCAUGAACUGUGGAUUAACAGGAUUUCUUAAGCAGCAAAUACAAUGCGGGCUAUAGAAAACACGUCUUCAUUCAUCAAUAUUCAAUACACAGACGAACAGAUAUAAAUAAUACAUAUGUAUUAUAAAUGGAUAUACGAAUAAACAAUAAACCUGUCUAACUCCCAAGGCAGCUUGCAAUGGAGUCAUGGUAUCAUAUGGAACCUGCAAUACAAAAUCAUACGAGUUUGAAAAUAAAUAAAUAAAAAAAUCUUAAGAAGUUUGAUAAUGUCCACAUCCAAAAUUCCCAAUACACAGAGGAAGCAUACUUUGGCUGUUACUAGCUCCCAAAGUACAAUUGCGAAACUGAACACAUCUGCUUUCUGAUCAUAUGGUUGAUGGUUGAUAACCUUGCAAAAUACAAGAAACCAAUAAGAUAUUGAAAUAAGAAUGUAAAUCAAUGUCGUCAAACUACGGUGCAUCUGCUAUGGUAAUGACGCAGUAACAAAACCAGAAUGUUGACAUCCAAAAUGCAAUUAACAAAACAGGAAAUUCAAUGAACCAUAGCCUGCUUGCCAAAACAAAGGGAUAUUGAUAAUUGUUUAUGAUAAACUAAUCAAUCCAUAGAUCACAACAAAGGACCAAUUUGUGAACCAAGUCCAACGGUUUAAGAGUUGACAAUAAUUUUCACGAAGAGACAAAGCAGGAAAAAAAAAGCAGAGGAAAAUAUUGAACCAGAAGAAUCGGACCUCAGGUGCCAUCCAUCGAUAGGUUCCAGUCUCUGCUGUCAUUACUCCCUCUUGAUUCUGAAACCGAGCAACACCAAAAUCUGCCACCUUUACAACCUGAAGGCAAACAAGAAAAUGAUUUUCAACUGUAAAAGAAAAGAAAAACCUAUUUGUUUUUCCUAAACAGAAAAAUAGAAUAGCCAGGAUGUGAGAGGAGAUUUCAACCAUUUAUACUUGGAAAUCUAACCAGGAAACAGUUUACCCAUUAUCAUAAACAAAUAAUGCUGUGUUUAGCUUUGAACUUUACUUAUAGUUAUUAAAAAAUAUAAAUAUACUUGUCGAAAGUAGAAUUGCAUUACCCCACAUCUUUAAACACAAAUCUAACUUCAUCAUUCAUGACAUCCUGAAAGUAUCAAAUUCACCAUCGACAAAAACUCAGAAGACAUCAAUUCCAGUAUGUCCAUGAGAAUUUUGGUCGAAUUGAACUUUUGACAUGCAGAUAUACUUCUCCCAUAAUCAAACUUCAUACCUCAAAGCACAACGCACAAUUACCCCAUACAAAACAAUAGACGGUUUGGUUACUCAAGUCCAAUAACUACAACUUAUAUCAACUAAAGCAGCAAUAGAUCCACUGAAGACAUUAGCCCUUUUAAAAAAAUUACAAACAAAUCUAUUGAACUUUAUCGUUUUCCUGUCGCCUAAGUUAAGCUGUAUAUGUACAAUGACAAAUUAAAUCAAUAGAGUUAUCAUGAAUAUGCGUAGGUUACAUUUUGCAGAAAGUGAAGCUGCCAAACAAGCAAACAAUAACCUUUAAUUCUUACAUUGUUAGUGUCCAUUAGCAGAUUUGCCGUCUUUAGAUCCCUAUGAAUUAUGUUAUUAUGAUGCAAAUACUCCAUUCCUUUACAGACAUCAAUUGCAAACUUUAGCAGUUCUGAAAGCUUCAAGAUGUUAUGAUUCUUAUGCAAAUAAUCGUAAAGACUUCCACCGGGCAUAUACUCUGCAAAAAAUAAAAAACAAAUGAAUUUUCAUAAUUAUGGUAAUAGUACAAUACAGCAACAAGUCGGCACUGGACUAAUUAUACUCAUCUCAAACUACAAACAGAUCUAAACAGUAAAGUUUUACAUAAAGAAAUCAAGAUGAAAUCAACAAUAAAGCUCUAACCAUAAAAAGAUACCCUGCCAAAUACUAUCCCAAAAUUCUCAAGAAACAACAUCCAAAGGUAAUCCCAAAACAAAAUCUAUCCCACGAAUGAUUACAUCCUUCAACUCCUAACCUACAUGAAGCUUCAUAAUACGCACCAAGUUGCCAAAGGCUGGCUGAUUGACAAAUUACAUAUAAUAGGGAAUUCCAAUAUGCACGACAUCCAAACAGCUUAGAGGAAUUUAAAAUAUAUAACACACAAGUAAAAUCUUCCUAAAUGCUGCAUACUCAGAGAAGAAGUACUAGCGCAUCCAAAACUUAAAAGAGUAUAAAUAAUGUGUAAGUAUGUUCCAACAACAACAACAAGGCAUUUUCCCACUAAGUAGGGUAGGCUAUAUGAAUCCUAGAACGCCAUUGCGCUCGGUUCUGUGUCACAUCUUCUGUUAGAUCCAAGUACUCUUAAGUCUUUUCUUAUAGUCUGUUCCAAAGCCUUCCUAGGUCUUACUCUACCCCUUCGGCCUUAAACCUCUGUCCUGUAAUCGCAUCUAGUGUAAGUAUGUUCCAAGAAAGAUAUUUUUAGUUCCAUUAAUACUUCUCCUGAUCCUAAUAAAAAUUUUCAAAAAGAUAGAAUGAAAACUUUGGUUGGCUACACCUAUAUUGGUGGAAACCAUCCGAUGUCAUUGAUUUUUUGUAGAAUGAUAUCCUUUGGUCCAUAAAAGAUAUUUUAUGAGAUCCGUUUUGGCGAAUGGUAAAAGGGGAUAGCUUUUAAGAAGGGAAAUGUGAGUGUGUUGGGGUGGAUUUUCUCCCUUUUUAUGUUCCUUGUAAAAGAAUAUACUAUGCUUCACUAACAAAAUUAAAAAGUAAAAAAGAAAACUUAUAAACAAUCUGAUGCUUAUUCUUACUUUUCUUAGUUGCACUGCUUCUAAAAACAUCUCCACAUGUAAGAUUCUGAUACAGAAUGAACAAAACCUCGAAAGAAGCUAACUUAACAAAUAUAGUAAAUGUUGGAGGCAACCAACAGGAGAGUUCCAUACCUGUCACUAUGCACAAAUGUGGAGACUUUGUACAUGCACCGAUAAAGCGCACAACAUUACUAUGAUGGACCUCUCUGCAAUCAUAAAACAAAUAUAAUAUAUAUCAGUAUUGCUUAAUAGCAAUACGCAUGCCAACAUAACCUAUAAAAUGGAACAACAGUUUUCUUUUCCCUUGAAUAAGAGACAAUUUAUUAGUAAAGAAUAAGAUACAGAGAAGACACUAUGAAAAACUAGAAACAGCAAAAGGUGGAACCUAGCCAUGAAUUUUAACUGCCUAGAUGUGUGAAAUGCAGCAUGGGCUAGCUGCAUUUUACUUAACUAUCAGAAAAUUCAUUCACUUUAUGGGUUUCAAGAAUAGUUACAGCUAAUAUACCACAAAAUGAAAGACUAGCUGCAUUAAAUGUGAUUUUUUAAAUGACACAAUAAGACAUGUUUCUUGGUUCCAUUUGUAAUUACAUUUGGCAUAUUCUUCCAAAGCCUCGUCGAAAUAAAGACCAGCAACCUGGAUAUUCAACCAGCAAUCCUGGAUAUUCAACCAGCAAAUCCAGAAAACGUGAAGCAUUCUCUUGUCAUUCCCAGAGAUUAUAGGAAUUGUUCUUGUACAGGCUAGUAUAGAAGUUCAUUAUGGAGGAUGUUGGAAAAUAAUGGAAAAAUCUUUAAAAGUUUACAAGUGGAGAAGAGCUCUCAAUAGAAAUGAUAAGAGUGAUUUCAUAUGAACUCCCCAGCAGGGACCAGCCUAGAUUAAAAGAAGAUAAAGAUAGAAAAUUAUUCACCUUAAAAUUGCCACUUCUUGAGCAAACUCAUCCUCUAGAGCAUCAUUCAAAUGUUCAGAUCUCAAAAUCUUAACAGCAACAUCUUGACCAAGAUAAAUUCCACGAUACCUGAGAAUGAACAGUAAUAUAAAGUUAAGCAGCAGAGAAGACUAUAAACGAAUAAAGGAAUGCCAAAAAUAAAACAUAUCUUACAAAUCUCCACAUGACCCAGAUGCAAUUCUGUCUCCGAUCAUUAAUAAUCUUCGGUCUAUUUCCCAGAGUCCUGUCUUUUCUUUCACCGAUAAUUCUUUCUCCACAGCCGAAUGAGAAUGUGAAGAUCUUGACCAUGACCCCUAAAUUACCAAACAACAGAUACGUAUUACUAUCUUAUAAUUCUUCGAUUAUUUUAGCAUUGUGACGCAAUAUACCUCACUUCUAGCAAUUGCCUUUUCCAUAGCUUCAUACAGACCAUCUGUAUCCUGACCACAACAUUGCAAAGUCAGCAACAUUUGAACUCAGCACAGUUGUCAUAAAAUUAAUAUAAUCACAAUUCCCCUUAAUGUAUUCUGAAGACAUUUUCUUGGAGGAACUGUAGCUUUUUCGACUUGUCCAAUUUGAUAAAACCCAAUAUUUAUAACAAACAUAUUGGGAUGCAUUAGAUCCAAUAAUUGUAGCAAUGCCAUAUUACAGCCCAGAGAUAAACACUGACUAAAAAGCGUUCAUCCAUGCAUAAAAAGAGAAAGCACAUAAACAGCUUGCAGUAUAGCAAAAUCCAUAGCCAACAAAAAUAAGCAUAUUGUAGUAGCAAUGUACCACAUAUUUUAAGAAAGGCCAUCCAACGUUUCGUGUAUUGGAAAUUACUCAUUUAUAAUAUAAUAACAUGCAAAAUUUCAAGAUUCAAAACUCUGACAGUAGAAAGUAAUCUGUGAAUGACGAUAAACACAUUAUAUAGUAAAAGAAAACUACCUCAACAGGCCAUCCAUCUACCACAAAUACAUCUAAAGAGUAGCCAUCGCUCGUCGAGAAGACAUGUGCUUCACGGAUGUUAAGUUCCAAAUCCGAAAGCAAGGAAGAAAGCUACAGAAUGAUGACAUAAGUUAGAAAGAUGCGACCACAGUAUGGUUACACUUCUGCAGUUAUCUUGGAUUCUACAACAUAAACAAUGCAUAUAAUAUGUAUCAAAUGUACUGAAUAGUCCAUUGCUACCUUUAAAUUCAUUUUCCAAUUGAAUUUGAAGGCUAUAGAUUUUCAACUUUAUAUUAAUGAAAGAAAUCAUAAUGAAAAAGAACUCUUCCAAUACAACGUCUUCUCACAAUUAUAUUUAAUACCCAAGCUUACUGCAUUGAGGUGCCAGCGUGUGAGGUCUAGACACUAGAGUUGACACAAAACAUCAGAUGGAGAACCAUAAAACAUGAAUGACGGACCAUCACAGUGUCACAUGAAAACAAAGAUAGUUGCUUGAGUUAUAAACAUUAGGUAUUGAACACACAUUCAUAUUAGUGAGUACCAAGAGAACUGCUUAAGUGGAGACAGAGUAUUACAGGAUAAUGAAGCUAUCAAAUGAUGUCAAAUUUCAAUACCCUUUAACAUUGAAGAAAUUAUGUACAUGUGGACACUAAAACUACAGAAAUACUAUCACUUGAUGCUAUUCAAUCAGAUGAUCCUUUUGAUUAUUAAUUGAAAAAAGGAAUGCUGAAUCCAACUUCAUGAUCCAGAAUGUAAGUGCAAUAUCAGAUAAGUUUGUCCACUAUCCUAUCAUACUAAUCUUAUAUGACCCCUUUGAGAUAUAACUCGUUGAACAGUUGAACUUAGUUUACCAAAUAGACCUUCAGCUUUAAUUUGCAAACACGUAAGGGAACAAUCAGCAGAUUUUCGGGCUUCAAACUCUGAUUUCUUUUCAGAUUCUAAGAAUAUUUUGAAACUGAGAUCGAGGUAAACUCCAGGUGGUAAUACCAAACUUGACAACAAACGAAUAAAUUAAACCUUCUCAGUCAUACCUGGCUAAGAAGCUUAGGCUUGUCAAUAGUUGAAAAUAUUACUUCAUGAAUGGGAACAUGUGGUAUAUCUUGCCUGCGUUAUACAGCCCAAUGGUCAAUAUCAUUUCUGCAUAAUUAUACAUGUUUUUUCUUUAAAUGAGAAACAAAGUUUUACUAAAGAUACUCAAAAACACAGUACAAGACUCUGAACAAACUGGUCCACCAACAAAAUGAUUCAACUAAUGAAAAACAAAUCUGAAUUACACCUAUGACAAUGUAAUGGAACUUUCAAAAUUACCCUAUAAGAGCUUCCCAAUCUAAUAAGAUGUUAGAAAUUGGUAGAUCCCUAAAGGGUGGAGAAAAACAAGCUGAUAAGCAUAAAUGUGAUCUCUCAAAUAUACGGGCACAGUUCAUAUAAAAACUGCACAAUUAAAAUAUAAAGUAUAUGAAAAAGACCCGGAUAAAGGAGGAGGGGGAGGGCGUCAGGUAGUCGACAGCCGGCACUCCAUGAUCACGUCGAAUCCUUAUGAAAAUGAAUCCAGAACAAAAUCGCGCUAAAGCUAGGGCGUCACCCGUAAGUGGCGCGCUGUGUGGCCUGAGCACAGUGAUAAGUGAGCAAGGGUCGCUGUAUCUCCAUCGGCACCCGGAUGCAGUGUUAAAUGAGCAAGGGGGCCAUAGAAACUUCUUUUCGAACGACUCCACUCAAAGUUGUUUGGGAGCAUAUGCUCCUAUCAACUUUACCCGGGACACACAAAAGAAGUACUUUGAUCCUAUUAGACGGGGGAGGGUGAAGAAGCUAGGACAGAAGGGUAGAGUUCAAGAGAGCAAAAUGCGUUUAGGAACGUGGAAUAUAGGAACCUUAACGGGAAAAUCUAUGGAAGUAGUGGAAGUUAUGGUGAGGAGAAGGAUAAAUAUUAUGUGCCUACAAGAAACUAAGUGGGUUGGUAGUAAGGCAAAGGAUCUAGAAAACUCAGGGUUUAAACUUUGGUAUUCGGCACAAAUAGAACGAGAAACGGUGUUGGCAUCAUCGUGGACAAGACCUUGGUACAAGAUGUUGUAGAUGUCAAGAGGGUAGGAGAUAGAAUCAUGGCAAUCAAGAUUGUAAUAGGACAAGAACUUAUCAAUGUGAUUAGUGCGUACGCACCUCAAGUAGGGUUGGAUACGAGUUCGAAGGAGAAAUUUUGGGAAGAUCUUGGAGACUUGGUGCAAGGAAUUGCUCAGACGGAGAAGUUAUUUAUAGGAGGAGAUUUAAAUGGACACGUGGGCAGGGAGACAGGCAACUAUGGAGGUUUUCAUGGUGGCCAUGGUUUUGGGGAGAGAAACGAGGAUGGGGAAGCUAUCUUGGAUUUUGCAAUGGCAUAUGAUCUCUUCUUAGCCAACACCUUCUUUAAGAAGAGAGAAGAACAUGUGAUCACCUACAAGAGUGGGUCGUCAAAAACACAAAUAGAUUUUCUUCUAAUGAGGAAAGGGGAUCGUAUAACUUGUAAGGAUUGCAAAGUUAUACCAGGAGAGAGCGUGGCUAAUCAACAUCGCUUGUUGGUGAUGGAUGUACAUAUCAAAAGAGUAAGACAAAAGAACAAGACUUGGAAGUGCCCAAGGACUAGAUGGUGGAAUCUAAAAGAAGAAAAACAAGCCAUUUUCAAAGAGAAGGUAAUCACCCAAUGUGUGUGGGAUAGAGAGGGGGAAGCUAGCCAAAUGUGGGAUUCCAUGGCUAGUUGUAUCCGAAAAGUAGCAAAAGAGGUAUUAGGAGAGUCCAAGGGCUUUGCCCCACACCAAAAGGAAUCUUGGUGGUGGAAUGAGGAGGUACAAACAAAGGUGAAGGCUAAGAAGGAAUGUUGUAAAGCCUUAUACAAGGAGAGGACUGAUGAAAAUGGUGAAAGGUAUAGAAAAGCGAAGCAAGAGGCGAAGAAAGCUGUCAGAGAAGCUAAGUUAGCGGCUUACGACGAUAUGUAUAAACGACUAGAUACCAAAGAAGGAGAGUUGGAUAUCUAUAAACUAUCUAGAGCAAGGGAAAAAAGAAGACAAGGGACCUAAACCAAGUGAGGUGCAUCAAGGAUGAGGAUGGAAAGGUUCUUGCUACAGAGAACGCGGUUAAAGACAGAUGGAGAGGUUAUUUUCAUAAUCUUUUCAAUGAAGGACAUGAAAUGAGUGCUUCUUUAGGGGAGUUGAGUAACUCAGAAGAGUGUAGAAACUACUCUUUUUAUCGUCGAAUCCGGAAGGAAGAAGUGGUUGUAGCUUUGAAGAAGAUGAAGCAUAAAAAAGCAAUAGGCCCAGACGAUAUACCAAUCGAAGUGUGGAAACUUUUGGGAGAGACAGGUAUAACAUGGCUCACUGACCUUUUCAAUAGGAUUUUGAAAACGAAGAAGAUGCCAAAUGAGUGGCGAAUGAGCACUUUGGUGCCUAUCUACAAGAAUAAGGGCGACGUACAAAAUUGCAUGAACUAUAGGGGUAUUAAGCUAAUGAGUCAUACAAUGAAGCUCUGGGAGAGAGUCAUUGAGCAUAGAUUGAGGCAAGAGACACGGGUUUCGGACAACCAAUUCGGGUUCAUGCCAGGGCGCUCAACCAUGGAGGCAAUCUAUCUCUUACGAAGAUUGAUGGAAAUAUAUAGAGAUGGGAAAAAGGAUUUACACAUGGUCUUUAUAGAUUUGGAAAAAAGCGUAUGAUAGGGUCCCAAGAGACAUUCUUUGGAGGAUUUUAGAGAAGAAAGGAGUAGUACGAGUAGCAUAUAUCCAAGCUAUAAAGGAUAUGUAUGAAGGAGCAAAGACUGCCGUAAGAACUCAUGAAGGACAAACCGAAAGCUUUCCCAUAACUGUAGGAUUACAUCAAGGCUCAUCCUUAAGUCCUUACCUUUUUGCGUUGGUAAUGGAUGAGUUAACACGACAUAUUCAAGAUGAUAUUCCUUGGUGUAUGCUUUUCGCAGACGAUAUAGUGUUGAUAGAUGAAACUCAGGAAGGGGUAAAUGCAAAGCUUAACCUUUGGAGAGAAGUGUUGGAAUCUAAAGGUCUUCGCCUAAGCCGAUCAAAGACAGAAUAUAUGGAGUGCAAGUUCAGUGCAAAUGGAGGCCAAAACGAGUUAGGGGUGAGGAUCGGAGAUCAAGAAAUACCAAAGAGCGACCGUUUUCGUUACCUAGGAUCUAUCUUUGCAAAAGAACGGAGAAUUAGAUGGAGAUCUCAACCAUAGAAUACAAGCUGGAUGGAUGAAGUGGAAGAGUGCAUCCGGCGUGUUGUGUGACCGCCGUAUGCCACUGAAGCUCAAGGGAAAAUUUUAUAGGACGGCAAUAAGGCCGGCGAUGCUGUAUGGCACAGAAUGUUGGGCGGUGAAACAUCAACACGUACACAAAAUGGGUGUAGCGGAGAUGAGGAUGCUUCGUUGGAUGUGUGGGCACACGAGAAAGGAUAAGAUUAGGAAUGAGGAUAUCCGGGGUAAAGUAGGAGUAGCCGAAAUUGAAGGAAAGAUGAGAGAAAAUCGGUUACGGUGGUUUGGACAUGUGCAAAGAAGGCCUACUGACGCUCCGAUUAGAAGAUGCGACUAUGGGACAGAGGUUCAGGGCCGAAGGGGUAGAGGAAGACCUAGGAAAACUUUGGAAGAGACUCUAAGAAAAGACUUAGAGUACUUGGAUCUAACGAAGGAGGACAUGACACAGGAUCGAGCACAAUGGCGUUCUAAGAUUCAUAUAGCCGAUCCCACUCAGUGACUUGGAUUUUCCAAGUCUCCAACCGAGAAGUUUUCCUCACUCGGGAAAUUAAGGGAACACUACCCCAACCUACAUGCUCCACUCAGAAAGCUUCAACAUACAAGCUUCAACAAAAGAAAAUUCAAAGAACUUAGCGAAGAAGGCUUUGGUGUAUUUAACACAAUACGUUGAAAUGAAGGAAAGCUUAUUUAUUGAUAUCCCCGAUAAGCUACAAAUAUGUACAUAUACAUGAGUCAAAAUAAACACAAGAGGGAGCCUUCACAAAGGUUGCUUAGGAGAAGUCUCAGCAGUCGGUAGAGCCCCAGAAAGAGAAGGCACCGGAGGGGGAUCAUUUGGAGCCUCAGUACUGGACAGAACCCUAGAAGGAGGAGGCAUCAGAGGUUGAUCAUUUGGAGCUUCAUUACGCGGUACAGCCCCAGAAGACGAAGGCAAUAAAUGCCUUUGGAACAAACCCACAAAUCUCUGAUGAUCAAGUAAAACCUGACCAUCAGUUUCCUUCAUCUGGUCAAGCUUCCUCUUCAUGUUUGUAGCAUAGUCAUGUGCGAGCCGGUGCAACUGUUUAUUCUCAUGCUUGAGCCCUCUAAUCUCCUGUUUGAGACUCAUCACUUCAGCCGCCAAUGAUUCAACUUGGCGGGUUCGAGCAAAUAGGCGUUGGGCCAUAUUAGACACAGAACCUGCACACUGAACACUGAGAGCCAGCGAAUCCUUAACAGCUAACUCAUCAGACCGUUUGGAAAGUAGUCUGUUAUCUUUGGGAGUGAGAAGGUUCCUGGCCACCACCGCAGCGGUCAUAUCAUUCUUCAUCACGGAAUCCCCAACGGUAAGAGGACCAGUAGGGGAGACGAAGGAUGGGCGCCAUAUGUUGUCUGGAGAAGGCGGGGCUGCCUCUUCAACAAGGUUCAAGUCAAAACGACGGUCGGAGGGGCCAGACAUUUUCAAAGGUGUUGAAGAGAGAAGAGGUCGGACAAAUCAAGAUCUUAGAAGUGCAAGAAUGAAGCUUCUACUGGUGGAGAUUCAAGUGUGCUUUGGAACUUAAUGCCAGCCCCUAUAUAAAAAUCUGCACUCGACGAAGCUUUAGAAAUCGAAGAGGCGCCUGCUCAGAAAUCGAAGAGGCGUUUGCUUUCUCAAAAGCUGGGCUGCUUAGAGAUCACGAGGGUUGAUCUCAGAAAUCGAAGAGGUGUUUGCUUUCUCAAAAGUUAGGCUGCUCAAAGACCACGAAGGCCGAUCUCAAAAAUCGAAGAGGCGCUCGCUUUCUCAAAAGCUGGGCUCCCCAGAGACCACGGGGGCCGAUAUCAGAAAUCGAAGAGGCACCUACUUUUCCAGCCUUUUCCAGCCUUGUCAGCACCUGUCACACGCACACUCAGUUUUGCGGAAAUUAUGGGCAUUCUGUCAAAGACUUCUGGGGAAGUAGAAAACACAUGAAUCUUACUGUUCAAUCACCCACUUCCCACACGCAACAAUAGCUCAUGGGUACCACAGAUAACUUUGCCAAAGUUCUCUGCCAAAGUUGAGCACGUGAAGCUUGCAGCUCCUACUACAUCGCUCUGACCAAGAAGGGUAAAAGAAUAGCAAAGAAACAGCACUAACAAAGUUUAGACCCAUAAAUUUUGAAGGUCUAGCUACCAUAUUAUUACCCACAAGGGUAAAGGAACAGUACCACUGCUGGAUAAUUGGAAAGUCCCUGUGUGUCAACCUCUGUGCUUCGUGGCAAGGUAGACUAGCAAACAUGCCCAACCUUUACUCACAUUCGAGAAAACACUCCCAAUAAGAUUGCUUGCUCCAAAAUCGAAGAGGCACCGUCCUCCGAAUCUCGAGAGCCAGACUCCCAACAUGACUACUUUCUUAAAAAUCGAAGAGAGAGGGUAAAGGAACAGUACCAUUGCUGGAUAAUUGGAAAGUCCCUGUGUGUCAACCUCUGUGCUUCGUGGCAAGGUAGACUAGCAAACAUGCCCAACCUUUACUCACAUUCGAGAAAAACACUCCCAACAAGAUUGCUUGCUCCAAAAUCGAAGAGGCACCGCCCUCCGAAUCUCGAGAGCCAGACUCCCAACAUGAUUACUUUCUCAAAAAUCGAAGAGACACUGCUCCCCGAAUCUCGAGAGCCAGACCCCCAGCAUGAUUGCUUUUUCAAAAAUCGAUGAGGCAUCGUUCUCCGAAUCAAUCGAAGAGGCGCUCGCUUUCUCAAAAGCUGGGCUGCUCAGAGACCACGAGGGCCGAUCUCAGAAAUCGAAGAGGCACCUACUUUUCUAGCCUUGUCAGCACCUGUCACACGCACACUCAGCUUUGCAGAAAUUAUGGGCAUUCUGUCGAAGACUUCUGGUGAAGUAGAAAGCACAUGAAUCUUACUGUUCAAUCACCCACUUCCCACACGCAACAAUAGCUCAUGGGUACCACAAAUAACUUUGCCAAAGUUCUCUGCCAAAGUUGAGCACGUGAAGCUUGCAGCUCCCACUACAUCGCUCUGACCAAGAAAGGUAAAAGAAUAGCAAAGAAACAGCACUAACAAAAGUUUAGACACAUAAAUUUUUGAAGGUCUAGCUACCAUAUUAUUACCCACAACUGUAAAGGAACAGUACCACUGCUGGAUAAUUGGAAAGUCCAUGUGUGUCAACCUCUGUGCUUCGUGGCAAGGUAGACUAGCAAACAUGCCCAACCUUUACUCACAUUCGAGAAAACACUCCCAAUAAGAUUGCUUGCUCCAAAAUCGAAGAGGCACCGACCUCCGAAUCUCGAGAGCCAGACUCCCAACAUGAAUACUUACUCAAAAUCGAAGAGAGGGUAAAGGAACAGUACCAUUGCUGGAUAAUUGGAAAGUCCCUGUGUGUCAACCUUUGUGCUUCGUGGCAAGGUAGACUAGCAAACAUGCCCAACCUUUACUCACAUUCGAGACAACACUCCCAACAAGAUUGCUUGCUCCAAAAUCGAAGAGGCACCGCCCUCCGAAUCUCGAGAGCCAGACUCCCAACAUGAUUACUUCCUCAAAAAUCGAAGAGACACUGCUCUCCGAAUCUCGAGAGUCAUACCCCCAGCAUGAUUGCUUUCUCAAAAAUCGAAGAGGCAUCGUUCUCCGAAUCUCGAGAGCCAGAUACCACAGACCACUUUUUCAAAGUGCUCUGACAGAGUUAAAACAUGUGAAACUGGCAGCUCCCACUACCGUGCUAUGACCAAGCAGGGUAAAGGAAUAGCAUUACUACUUGUUGUUAGGGAGACUCCUAUAUAUGUCGACCUCCAUCCCCAACGGACAGGCAGACCUGCAAAAAUGCUCAACCCUUCAUCAUAUCUGAGAGGGCACUCCCAACGAAGCCUUUCGAAAUAUUCAGCUUUCUUUCCCCCCGAUAAUACCUCUGCAAACAAGCUAUACUAGAGCAAGAAUAUCUCAUAUCAUCAGGGUUAAAAGCAAGAGUAUCCCAUAUCAUGCUUUUUCCCUGUCUUUUCUUUUUGGCCUUGUUUUUACCUGCAAGACAAGGAGAAAGAGAGCAAUCAGUCAGCACUUGGAAUCAAGCUUCCAGCCAGGAACUGACUGCCUGGAACCCCUUACCUGAUUACUUACCUGGCAUUGCUCUCGAGUACUCAUCUUCAACAUCUUAUGUUUCCAGGGAAGAUUCCGCAUCUGCUUGAGGAACAGAUAGGGCAAGUGCGAAGGAUACAAGGAAGCAUGUGGAGACAAGCGUAACAGCACACGUGCCGAUACAUUCAUUACUCUGUCAAAAGCAAAAGUAUCCCAUAUCAGCAGGGUGGAACGUACUCUAGAUUUGAUGGACUUGUUUUGACCCUCAAAUUCUUCAGUCGGCCUUAUACUCUGGAGAAAACCAGAAAACCCUCCAGCUCAGUUCAAGAAUAAGCCUGUGGAAAGUUACUUCUUCAAAAGCAAAAGUAUCUCAUAUCAUCUCUUCUCAUUUUUCUUCUCUUUUAUCCUUCAUGCUGCUGCAAGAUGGGGAGAAGGUGAACAAUCAGUCGGAGCUCUGAUUGCUUACCUUGUCUGUCACCUCUUUCAGCAGACCCCUAGCUCGGCGACUUGGGGGACUCCUACUACAUGGUUUGUAUCGCGCUUGACCAAGCCUGAAACUACAAGUAAGCUUCAAGUGAAAUUGAUACAUUACCUUGUGCAUCUCCACCAGUUAAAGAUAUCCACCCCUGGAUGGAGGAAGAGUACUUCCAGAGAAGAUGCCACAUCUACCUAUGAGACAGAUAAGGCAAGUCAAGACGACACCACACUCCGAUACUUAGAAGUUUCGUGAUUACGAGAUCAUUCUCCCACAAUAUUUCCUAAUGUCAUUUGUACUAAAAUCAUUCACUUGUACUCACUAAAUGAGAGCUUGAACCUAUGUACUUGUGUAAACCCUUCACAAUUAAUGAGAACUCUUCUAUUCCGUGGACGUAGCCAAUCUGGGUGAACCACGUACAUCUUGUGUUUGCUUUCCUAUCUCUAUCCAUUUAUAUACUUAUCCACACUAAUGACCGGAGCAAUCUAGCGAAGAUCAUAAAAAGCGAUCGUUUUCGCUACCUAGGAUCUAUCUUGCAAGAGAACGGAGAAUUAGAUGGAGAUCUCAACCAUAGAAUACGAGCUGGAUGGAAAGAGUGCAUCCGGCGUGUUGUGUGACCGUCGUAGGCCACUGAAGCUCAAGGGAAAAUUUUAUAGGACGGCAAUAAGGCUAGCGAUGUUGUAUGGCACAGAAUGUUGGGUGGUGAAGCAUCAACACGUACACAAAAUGGGUGUAGCGGAGAUGAGGAUGCUUCGUGGGAUGUGUGGGCACACGAGAAAAGGAUAAGAUUGGGAAUGAGGAUAUCCGAGGUAAAGUAGGAGUAGCUGAAAUUGUAGGAAAGAUGAGAGAAAAUCGGCUCCGGUGAUUUUGAACAUGUGCAAAGAAGGCCGACUGACGCUCCGGUUCGAAGAUGUGACUACGGGACAGAGGUUCAGGGCCGAAGGGGUAGAGGAAGACCUAGGACAACUUUGGAAGAGACUCUAAGAAAAGACUUAGAGUACUUGGAUCUAACGGAGGACAUGACACAAAACCGAACGCAAUGGCGUUCUAGGAUUCAUAUAGCCGACCCCACUUAGUGGGAAAAGGCUUUGUUGUUGUUGUUGUUGUUGUUGUUGAUUAAGCAUUAAUAUCAGCAUAAAGAAAAAUUAUUUUCUAUUUUUAAUUUGGAAAAUAAGACCUUUAGCAUAUUACUUCAUAAAUAUGUGUAUUUACUAUUUAUGCGUGCAUGCAUAUGUUUGUCUUUAUACAAUUUCAUGAUCACAUUGUACACUUCUAUGUAUCAUGUCUACCCUUUAUACACAUGAAAUAUCAUAUACAGUAAUUGCUUGUCAACACAUUCAUUAGAGCUUUACAAAUCGUUUAUCUAAUUUCUGUUUGAUAAGAUACAACAAAUUUAUCAGAAUAAAAUUUUGAUAAAAAUAGUGCACAUUAAAGCAAGAAGAAAGUAAGUUUUAAACAAGUGUCUUCCAACCUAUAGAAAGAGGGCUUCUCAAAAUUCCACCCAAAACUUUAACACUGAAAGCCUAUAAUAAGGCAACAUACAUUAUUCUACCCCUAAUUGCUACAAAUUCUUGAUGCUUGACCCAUAGCAAUUUUUCAGUGUGCAUCUCAAUAUUAACUUAGUCUUCAUCAUCCCAAGUCCUCAAAAAUGUAUACGCAAAAUAUGAGAAGUCAAAUGAAGCAAAACAAUAACUAACUUCGCUGCACAUAACAAUCUGCUCCAUAACUUAACCAAUGCAUAUGUUCAUCCAAAAGAAAAUGAUGCAUCUAUUCACCAUUCUUUCUACUGUUAAUUCACCAUUUACGAUAUAAAGAAAGGUCUGACUCACCUUCGAAGAAAAUUACUAGUGCUAAAUUUUUCAUAAGCUUUGCCCAAGGUAAAAGUUAACUUUCCUAGGAACCAGUGGAUUCCAUUAAAUCUUUAGGAAAAAAACUGAUAGAGUGACAACCAAUCAACCUUCAGAAUAAAGAGUUC
Molecule: long non-coding RNA, 26369 nt
Filed under: Malus domestica (apple)
Lineage: Eukaryota; Viridiplantae; Streptophyta; Magnoliopsida; Rosales; Rosaceae
Description: long non-coding RNA (MDOM_LNC008886)
Source: RNAcentral